ACGUAAUGAGAAAUUUAUAAUCAAAAUGAUAUCUUGAAAUAGUUAUUUAAUUUCAUUCAGUAAAUGAUACAUCUCUUUCAGUAGCAAACAUUUAUGGAAUAAAAGGUUUUGUCCGCAUAAUAUUACAAUCGUAUCAUAAGUACUUUAAUUAAUUCAGGUAUCAUUGUCGAUCAGCUUUAGAAGGAGAUGUUAAUCAACUUCUAUAAAUUGGUUUCACGGUCACGAAUCAUGGAUGACCCAUGCCUGGCGCCUGCGGCAGAGGGGUCUCAUAGGCGAUUCUGCGGUCCGUCCCUAUUUCUUUUUCCGCAUAUAUUUUGUCAUUACUCCUAAAUCCACCUGCAAUUUAGAAAAGUAGAAGAAUAUGAAAGUGACUCCAAUUCUUUUUCUUUUUUCGACGAAAAAAAGCUAAGAAUAAUAGUGAUGAACUAAUGAUGAGUCUGCACUAAGAGCGGACGCCGGACAGUACAAAAUGUGCCCUGAAGAAGGAUGAAACGGGCCAGUAGGAUUUUUUUUUUUAAUCAAAAGUUUAAAAAUAUUGUGCAAAACUAGGGACAUAGAAAGGGUGGGGAUAAUGCUAUGGUGGGUGCAUCCUGUUUUUGUUAUGCUUAUCUUGUGCCUAAAGAAAAGAAUGUGAUUGUUUGUUGCCCAUCUUCGGGCUAGUUGGUUUCUAGACAUAGUAUAAGAUGCAGAUUGUAGUCUUUAACAGGUGUAGUCUAGUGAAGAAUUGCUCAUUGGCUAAAAAAAAAAAGUUUUGCAUCUAAAUAAUAUUAUCUAAACCGGUGCUUAAUUUUGUUUUUCAUUUAAAAUGGACCAGCAUUAAGCUGAUUAUUCAAAAGUUUCAUUUGCUUAUUGAGUUCUUUGUCUGCCAAUUCACCUUUUAAAUUUGUAGAAGUGCUCUAUUUUAUUCAUUUUGUUAAUUUGCCUCGACAACCCAAACAGAGUACCUAAGGCAGUUAUACAGAAUAGUGAAAUCUUGUUCUCUUUUUAUUUUAUAUUAUUAUUCUUUUUGGGAAAAUAGUGCACUUCAUUUUAAGAUAACUGUUGAAGAAAAAAAGGUUCAAUGAGCAAAUUGAAAUUAUUAAGGUUAAAUUACGUAUAACGUCCUAUUAUUUUACAUAAUGUCAGAUGACUCCCUAAGGUUUCAAAAUAGCUACAUAAUCCCUAUAAUUUUAUAUAAAGUGGAAAAUGAACGAAAUGCGCAAUCAGUGAUGGCCUUUAUACCAAACACGCUCUAAAAGCGUGUCUGAUAAAAUUUUAAUCUCCAUGUAACCACUUUAGGAUUUGUAUAAAUAUUCACUUAACUCUCUUGUGAUUUUUGCUUUUAUCCACAUAAUUCCCUUAUACUUUUAUACAAGGUAGUUGAGCCAUCAAUUAAUUUAGCAUUUAAGUAAGGGUACUAUUAGUAUUUUAAUUAAUGAUAUUAUAUAGGCUAUUUUUCUUUAAGUUUCCACAUUACACAAAACCAUAUGAGGAAGUAGAUAUUUUGAAACGUUAGGCAAUAGACGAAAUCACAGGGGGUCACAUGUAAUUUACUGAGUUAUUAAAAAUUAAUGAAUUAAAGUUGCAAGGAAAACUUUUCUAGAUAUGUUAAAAUUUAAAUAGCUCAAAGAAUUACAUGCUAAGUACCUAUAUAUGAAUAAUAUUUCCGUAUGGGAAUAUGCAUAUGCCACCGGAAACAUUUAAAAUCUGGUCAAAAAGCCAGCCAUCCACGUUGGUUGAAAGACCCAGGAUCAUGGCCUUACAAAUUGAAAUAGUUUCAGCUCAAAUCGGUUUAUGUAAUUUUUAUUGCAUCUGCUGUAAACUCGUAUACUUUUAGUAUAAUUGUCAAGUUAGUUAUAUAAGUUUACAAGUGCAAGUUUACAUCCAGAUUAUAUGAUUUUACACCAAAAGUUAUAAGAAUUAUACUAACCAAUUUAAACUCCGUCAAAUUUUAACUUGUGAGGCCCUAAUCCAUCCUUCCAUUCGUGAGUCAUAUGUCAAGGCAGAGCUAGCAUGCAGCACAAAACAAAGACUCCAGCAUGAUGAGUGCAAACCAGUAAUCUUUUUCUUUUACUAUUUUUAACCAUGAUUAUCGAUAAUCCACAAAUAUGAAAUCUUAGAACUAUGAAGAGGAAUCACUUACUUGUCUCCAUGAUCUUUCUCGGCGUUGAAGGUAGGAUGGCCUGAGUAGAAAUUAAGAAGAGAAAGAGAAGUAUGGUGAACAGAGCCUUGCUGUUGCUGCCCAUGUUUGUUACACAAGAGUUUUAAGGUUAGCGCUUGUAUUCUAAUAUUCCUACUCGAUGAUUAUGUAAAGAAACAAAUUUUUAUAGCCAUUUACGAAGCAAUCGAGUUUCUCUGCGAUUACAUUGACG
RNAcentral lists this long non-coding RNA (2351 nucleotides) under Coffea arabica (coffee). RNAcentral's name for it is "long non-coding RNA (CARA_LNC002154)". Lineage: Eukaryota; Viridiplantae; Streptophyta; Magnoliopsida; Gentianales; Rubiaceae. The record is from RNAcentral.